This 2343-nucleotide long non-coding RNA is filed under the name Capsicum annuum. RNAcentral describes it as "long non-coding RNA (CANN_LNC007904)". The record is from RNAcentral. Lineage: Eukaryota; Viridiplantae; Streptophyta; Magnoliopsida; Solanales; Solanaceae.
UACACAAUUUUACCUAAUCAAAAUGGAACUAGUACUACUGGAGGAGGUGGUGGACUAGUACUAGCAGCUAAAAAUAGGCCAUGUCCAUUUUAUGUCAUGCAAGAAAAUCUUGAAUCAUCAUCCAAUGGCCUUCCAACAAGAUUCAUCCCUGUUGACAAUAAACAACAAGUCAUAAAUUUAUCAACUGAUUUAAACAUUGUGUUUUUUGCUGCCACAAUUUGUGUGCAGUCCACAGCGUGGAAGGUCAGUGGCAUGGACGAGAUAACGGGCAGGAGGUAUGUCAUGAGUGGUGGCAUGACUGGCCGGCCAGGGCUUGAGACAAUAAGCAAUUGGUUUAGAAUAGAAAUGUAUGGGAAUAAUGGGAGUUAUAAGAUUGUGUUUUGUCCUGGAGUUUGUAGUAAUUGUAAGGUAGUGUGUGGGAAUGUUGGUGUUUUUAAUGAGAAUGGGAAGAGGUGGCUUGGAUUGAAUGAUGAACCACUUGUUGUAAGGUUCAAAAAAGUGUUGAAUUAGUAUCAAAGAAUCGUACUUUUUAUUUAUUUUCUUGGCUCCUCUUCUAAUUUCUUUUAUAGUUUGGGUACUACAUGUUAAACUCUAGUAGAUUUAGAAAUACGAACCCUCCGCCUCAAAAUACUUGUUGAGUUUCGUUUUUCGAGAGUUUGUUUGAACUAAAUCGAAUUAGAUUAAUUUAAUAUUUUGAAGUUAAUAUUUAUUCAAAAACUAUAUAAAAAUAUUGUAAUUUGUGAUUCACCUAGUAUCAAUAUGGUGAAAAUUACAUCUUAAAAUGUUUGUCAAAAUUUAUGUAGUAUGACUCUCUAAAUAAGAAAUGUAACAAAUAAUUUAGAAAGAAGGAAGUAUGAUUUCUUUUUUCGAGAUUGAGCUAGCAAAGUUCUAUGCCGAAGGCAUUGAAUGGCUGAGUAACCCAAUUCUGGACUAUAAAAUAUACUAGUAUUUAAUCUGUUGGAUUAUGAGUAGGCAAUUUACCAAAGUUCUUUUCUUUAUUCUUAUGCAUUUUUUGAUAGAACUUGAGCGACACUUAAUGUCUCUUACGAUGUGUGUCAAGUGAAUAGUGGACAAGUACAAUGCAUGGGGGCAAUGGAGGACCAAACAAAUUUGAGUUGGGGUGAGGCUUACGAACUGGCAUCAAAUUUAUUUAAAAUUUAACAAGUCACAGAUUUGGUACCCACGAAGGGGAUCGGAGCUUGAAUUAACUAGUAAAGUUAUUGUCAUGUUAUUAGGAGGUCACAAGUUCAACUCGUGGAAACAACUCCUUGCAGAAAUGUAAGGCGAGGCUACAUAUGAUAGACCCCUUAUUGUCGCGCAUAGUGGGAGCUUUAAUGCACCGGGCUUGCCCUUUUACAGUUUUGGCACCCACAAAAGUAGCUAAAAAAUGGCUUAGCUGCAGUUACUAUAUCUCUGUUGAAGACACUAGAGCAGCUCUGGCAACUCAAUCUAUGUUCAAUUCACCCAAAAAGAAUAAAUGAAAUUGAAUCUCUCUGAAAGGGUCAAUUUCUUGUGAACCUUUCUUGAAGACUCGAGGAAAGAAAGUAAUAAUCAUGAUGAUAUGCCACAUUUAGAAAGAUGUACUAGAGAUGUGUCAUAUAGAUUUAUAGUCUAUGAGUGCAAUCUUUAAGAUUCUUAGCAUUGAACCUAUUUUUCGCUUUAAAUUAUGGGUUCGGAGUUCAGUCUUAGCUUCCGUUUGAUCAUAGAUUUUGAAGUUGAAAAAUAGAAAUUUGAGCUUUUGAACUUUGUGAAUGGAAGUCCAAAAACUCAACUAGCCAGAUUUCGGGAAUUUAAAAAUAUUAGAAAGAUCAAAUUUUCAAAAUGAUCAAAUUUCAUAGUCAAAUAGAUAUUUGGAAAUAAUUUUCAAAAUCUAAUAAAAAAUCUAUGGUCAAACGCUAGUUUACUAGUAUUUGUCAUAAUUUUAUACAAAUUUAUAUUCACCGUUGAAAGUCUAGAACCUAAUGCUGGAAUGUUGCAUUCGCGCAUGCCUGUAGAGCAGAAGAUAUACACGAGGAACUAAUGUUUAAUUAUUUAGUUGGUUCAAGUUCAAGGAAACUCAAAGCAGAGAGAAUUUUAUUGUGUUAUCUAUCGGAAAUGAGAGCUAUACAAGAAGAUUCAAUCCAUUAUAUUGAUGCUGUGAUAAUAUCAUAAUAAGACUUUAUGACAAAGUACAUACCUUCAAAGUCUUGAAAGCUGAGAGAUUUUCCUUUAUCUCAAGGUACAUCACGUAUACCAUCUGUUUAGAUGAUGAUGAUUUCAUUAGAAUUGUUUGUCAAUUAACAGGGCGGGCAGCCACCCAAACUUGUAGUCGUAACGGUGUUUGGUAAAACUAUACACGUAAAG